CGGUGAUGCCGGAUGGCCUCUCUCCGCUCCUCGCUGUUCUCUACGCCAUGGAGAUGGGGCUCGUGCGAGCGAUUGUUUCUGACGUGGACAGGGGUGCUGUUGCUUUGAGAAUUGAGAUGCGUGAAGUCCGGAAAACCGAGCCCGAGCCCGAGCCCGAGCCCGAUCUCAAUCCCAAUACCAAGCUGACGAAACCCUUUUAUACCAGCCGCAGCCGCCGCAAGCUUCCACCACAAACCCUCCUGCGAGAAGAGAGCUAGAAAAAAAUCCAAUCGAUCCGGGAUGGCUUCCCUUGCAUCUGUUGCUCGGAUCGCCGAGUAUUGCGCGGUUGGCUGCGCCAUUGUUGCGGUCGCUGGCAAUUCGACCCUGUCAAUCCGACUAGCCAUCACCGUGUUCUACCCGACGCUCAUCCUGUACCGGGCGCUGAAUCGCGUAGCCAUCUCUUUCGGGUUCCCGAGUGCGUUGGCCGCCCCGUGGAUCGCGGUCAGAUCACUCUACCUGUCGACGUCGGGCCUGGUAAAGCACUACCUCACCAGCCGGCCACACAAGAUGGGGACGUAAGGGUUCUUAAAGCAGUGCUAAAUUGUUGAUUGGUGAGGGCACUGGUUUUCACGAGGGAACUCAAUCAUUAUACAUCAUCAAGUAGUUUUGGGCAAUAUAAGUGUAGUAAUAUUAUUGGAGCAAUAUAAGUGCAGUAAUAUUUGGGGAAUGAUGUAGUUUAUUUCUAUAUAUCGUUAUUACUCUUUUUAAGAUCUUGGCUCGUUUUAGCCAGACAUAUAUGUGAACCUAUGUGUUAACUGCAUUAUUAUGGAUUACUACUGAGUAAGCCAUCAAUCAAUAUAGUAAUGGUUGGAUUAA
Long non-coding RNA from Lolium perenne, 855 nucleotides. RefSeq lists it as uncharacterized. The record is from RefSeq and is a predicted model, not a curated record. NCBI's taxonomy places the organism in Eukaryota, Viridiplantae, Streptophyta, Magnoliopsida, Poales, Poaceae.